UGCACCUACGGGACGCAGCAGUGAGGAAUAUUGGUCAAUGGGCUUACGCCUGAACCAGCCAAGUCGCGUGAGGGAAGACUGCCCCAUGGGUUGUAAACCUCUUUUGUCAGGGAGCAACGCCGGCUACGUGUAGCCGGACUGAGAGUACCUGAAGAAAAAGCAUCGGCUAACUCCGUGCCAGCAGCCGCGGUAAUACGGAGGAUGCGAGCGUUAUCCGGAUUUAUUGGGUUUAAAGGGUGCGUAGGCGGAAUGCUAAGUCAGCGGUAAAAUCGUGGGGUCCAACCCCAUCCCGCC
RNAcentral lists this ribosomal RNA (294 nucleotides) under uncultured bacterium. RNAcentral's name for it is "partial 16S ribosomal RNA". It matches the Rfam family "Bacterial small subunit ribosomal RNA", at positions 332 to 625 of the family's 1533-position model. The record is from RNAcentral.